This 468-nucleotide ribosomal RNA is filed under the name uncultured bacterium. RNAcentral describes it as "partial 16S ribosomal RNA". It matches the Rfam family "Bacterial small subunit ribosomal RNA", at positions 28 to 507 of the family's 1533-position model. The record is from RNAcentral.
GACGAACGCUGGCGGCGUGCUUAACACAUGCAAGUCGAACGGAAAGGCCCUGCUUUUGUGGGGUGCUCGAGUGGCGAACGGGUGAGUAACACGUGAGUAACCUGCCCUUGACUUUGGGAUAACUUCAGGAAACUGGGGCUAAUACCGGAUAGGAGCUCCUGCUGCAUGGUGGGGGUUGGAAAGUUUCGGCGGUUGGGGAUGGACUCGCGGCUUAUCAGCUUGUUGGUGGGGUAGUGGCUUACCAAGGCUUUGACGGGUAGCCGGCCUGAGAGGGUGACCGGCCACAUUGGGACUGAGAUACGGCCCAGACGCCUACGGGAGGCAGCAGUGGGGAAUAUUGCACAAUGGGCGGAAGCCUGAUGCAGCAGCGCCGCGUGCGGGAUGACGGCCUUCGGGUUAUAAACCGCUUUCGCCUGUGACGAAGCGUGAGUGACGGUAAUGGGUAAAGAAGCACCGGCUAACUACGUG